This 328-nucleotide ribosomal RNA is filed under the name uncultured eukaryote. RNAcentral's name for it is "partial 18S ribosomal RNA". It matches the Rfam family "Eukaryotic small subunit ribosomal RNA", at positions 1470 to 1796 of the family's 1831-position model. The record is from RNAcentral.
CCCUUAGAUGUUCUGGGCCGCACGCGCGCUACACUGACGAUGGCAACGAGUUUUUCCUUCGCCGAAAGGUGUGGGUAAUCUUUUGAAACAUCGUCGUGCUGGGGAUAGAUCAUUGCAAUUUUUGAUCUUGAACGAGGAAUUCCUAGUAAGCGCGAGUCAUCAGCUCGCGUUGAUUACGUCCCUGCCCUUUGUACACACCGCCCGUCGCUACUACCGAUUGAAUGGUUUAGUGAGGACUCCUGAUUGGCGCCGCCGCCCCGGCAACGGAGCAGCGGACUGCCGAAAAGUGUUCAAACUUGAUCAUUUAGAGGAAGUAAAAGUCGUAACA